This 1490-nucleotide ribosomal RNA is filed under the name Halomonas campaniensis. RNAcentral's name for it is "bacterial SSU rRNA". It matches the Rfam family "Bacterial small subunit ribosomal RNA". Lineage: Bacteria; Pseudomonadati; Pseudomonadota; Gammaproteobacteria; Oceanospirillales; Halomonadaceae. The record is from RNAcentral.
AUUGAACGCUGGCGGCAGGCCUAACACAUGCAAGUCGAGCGGCAGCACGGGAAGCUUGCUUCCUGGUGGCGAGCGGCGGACGGGUGAGUAAUGCAUAGGAAUCUGCCCGAUAGUGGGGGAUAACCUGGGGAAACCCAGGCUAAUACCGCAUACGUCCUACGGGAGAAAGCAGGGGCUCUUCGGACCUUGCGCUAUCGGAUGAGCCUAUGUCGGAUUAGCUGGUUGGUGAGGUAAUGGCUCACCAAGGCGACGAUCCGUAGCUGGUCUGAGAGGAUGAUCAGCCACAUCGGGACUGAGACACGGCCCGAACUCCUACGGGAGGCAGCAGUGGGGAAUAUUGGACAAUGGGCGCAAGCCUGAUCCAGCCAUGCCGCGUGUGUGAAGAAGGCCCUCGGGUUGUAAAGCACUUUCAGUGGGGAAGAAAGCCUUGGGGCUAAUACCCUCGAGGAAGGACAUCACCCACAGAAGAAGCACCGGCUAACUCCGUGCCAGCAGCCGCGGUAAUACGGAGGGUGCGAGCGUUAAUCGGAAUUACUGGGCGUAAAGCGCGCGUAGGUGGCUUGAUAAGCCGGUUGUGAAAGCCCCGGGCUCAACCUGGGAACGGCAUCCGGAACUGUCAGGCUAGAGUGCAGGAGAGGAAGGUAGAAUUCCCGGUGUAGCGGUGAAAUGCGUAGAGAUCGGGAGGAAUACCAGUGGCGAAGGCGGCCUUCUGGACUGACACUGACACUGAGGUGCGAAAGCGUGGGUAGCAAACAGGAUUAGAUACCCUGGUAGUCCACGCCGUAAACGAUGUCGACUAGCCGUUGGGAGCCUCGAGUUCUUAGUGGCGCAGUUAACGCGAUAAGUCGACCGCCUGGGGAGUACGGCCGCAAGGUUAAAACUCAAAUGAAUUGACGGGGGCCCGCACAAGCGGUGGAGCAUGUGGUUUAAUUCGAUGCAACGCGAAGAACCUUACCUACCCUUGACAUCGUGCGAACUUGGUAGAGAUACCUUGGUGCCUUCGGGAACGCACAGACAGGUGCUGCAUGGCUGUCGUCAGCUCGUGUUGUGAAAUGUUGGGUUAAGUCCCGUAACGAGCGCAACCCUUGUCCCUAUUUGCCAGCGAUUCGGUCGGGAACUCUAGGGAGACUGCCGGUGACAAACCGGAGGAAGGUGGGGACGACGUCAAGUCAUCAUGGCCCUUACGGGUAGGGCUACACACGUGCUACAAUGGUCGGUACAAAGGGUUGCAAAGCGGCGACGUGGAGCUAAUCCCAGAAAGCUGAUCUCAGUCCGGAUCGGAGUCUGCAACUCGACUCCGUGAAGUCGGAAUCGCUAGUAAUCGUGAAUCAGAAUGUCACGGUGAAUACGUUCCCGGGCCUUGUACACACCGCCCGUCACACCAUGGGAGUGGACUGCACCAGAAGUGGUUAGCCUAACUUCGGAGGGCGAUCACCACGGUGUGGUUCAUGACUGGGGUGAAGUCGUAACAAGGUAGCCGUAGGGGAACC